CGGUAACAGGAAGCAGCUUGCUGCUUCGCUGACGAGUGGCGGACGGGUGAGUAAUGUCUGGGAAACUGCCUGAUGGAGGGGGAUAACUACUGGAAACGGUGGCUAAUACCGCAUAACGUCGCAAGACCAAAGAGGGGGACCUUCGGGCCUCUUGCCAUCAGAUGUGCCCAGAUGGGAUUAGCUAGUUGGUGAGGUAACGGCUCACCAAGGCGACGAUCCCUAGCUGGUCUGAGAGGAUGACCAGCCACACUGGAACUGAGACACGGUCCAGACUCCUACGGGAGGCAGCAGUGGGGAAUAUUGCACAAUGGGCGCAAGCCUGAUGCAGCCAUGCCGCGUGUAUGAAGAAGGCCUUCGGGUUGUAAAGUACUU
RNAcentral lists this ribosomal RNA (372 nucleotides) under Salmonella enterica subsp. enterica serovar Newport. Its description in RNAcentral is "bacterial SSU rRNA". It matches the Rfam family "Bacterial small subunit ribosomal RNA", at positions 67 to 435 of the family's 1533-position model. Lineage: Bacteria; Pseudomonadati; Pseudomonadota; Gammaproteobacteria; Enterobacterales; Enterobacteriaceae. The record is from RNAcentral.